This is a non-coding RNA of Aphanomyces cochlioides, 64 nucleotides long. The record is from the annotation of a GenBank genome assembly. NCBI's taxonomy places the organism in Eukaryota, Oomycota, Saprolegniomycetes, Saprolegniales, Verrucalvaceae.
GAUAGCUCAGUUGGGAGAGCGUCAGACUGAAGAUCUGAAGGUGCCCUGACGAUCAUUUCAGACA